This 574-nucleotide long non-coding RNA is filed under the name Suricata suricatta (meerkat). RNAcentral's name for it is "lncRNA (ENSSSUG00005008891.1)". Lineage: Eukaryota; Metazoa; Chordata; Mammalia; Carnivora; Herpestidae. The record is from RNAcentral.
GGAGAGGGUGAAUUUUGCUCUCAAAAAUAAUUUUUAAAAAAAGGUAAUGGGGCUGAAUUUCUGGAGAGAGAUCAGGAAGAGCCAUGGUUUGAGACAAAAAAGAACCAGACAGAAGACAAAACGCAGGACUUUAGGCGAGCUGACAGUGAGGACCCAGAGAAAAUGACACCAUGUGACCCAGCCUCCUCCAAGACUUCCGGGGCGCAGGACGGGAAACAAGAGUGAUUAAAAACUGCCAUGUAGCCCGAACAGAGUUCAGCCAGAGUUUUCAUCCAGCAUGAAAGUCAUCAGAAUCCCAGAGCCCUCACCUAGCUGGGUGCACGCACAAGUGACAGCUUCAAGAGAUUGUUUGCCGUUGAAUGGAAAACGGCCAGCCUUGAUUAGACAUUGCCGCUCUGCCCAGGGGUGGCAAUACUUCGGAGCAUCCAUGCGGUGUGAAAGGCGCCUGCUGUACUUGGCCAUCGCCCUCGAGGGCCAGCUGGGGUGCUUGAGCAAAUGAGAAGCAUCCAGAGGGAUGCCUGGCAUCUCGCGGGCUCCAUCCAUAAGGGCUAAGAGGAAGUAAAUUUAGCUUGAC